ACUCCUACGGGAGGCAGCAGUGGGGAAUAUUGGACAAUGGGCGCAAGCCUGAUCCAGCCAUGCCGCGUGAGUGAUGAAGGCCCUAGGGUUGUAAAGCUCUUUCACCGGUGAAGAUAAUGACGGUAACCGGAGAAGAAGCCCCGGCUAACUUCGUGCCAGCAGCCGCGGUAAUACGAAGGGGGCUAGCGUUGUUCGGAUUUACUGGGCGUAAAGCGCACGUAGGCGGACUAUUAAGUCAGGGGUGAAAUCCCGGGGCUCAACCCCGGAACUGCCUUUGAUACUGGUAGUCUUGAGUUCGAGAGAGGUGAGUGGAAUUCCGAGUGUAGAGGUGAAAUUCGUAGAUAUUCGGAGGAACACCAGUGGCGAAGGCGGCUCACUGGCUCGAUACUGACGCUGAGGUGCGAAAGCGUGGGGAGCAAAUAGGAUUAGAUACCCGAGUAGUCCCA
RNAcentral lists this ribosomal RNA (446 nucleotides) under uncultured organism. Its description in RNAcentral is "partial 16S ribosomal RNA". It matches the Rfam family "Bacterial small subunit ribosomal RNA", at positions 335 to 797 of the family's 1533-position model. The record is from RNAcentral.